Molecule: ribosomal RNA, 448 nt
Filed under: uncultured bacterium
Lineage: Bacteria
Description: bacterial SSU rRNA
Rfam family: Bacterial small subunit ribosomal RNA
Source: RNAcentral
UCCCAGACUCCUACGGGAGGCAGCAGUGGGGAAUAUUGCACAAUGGGGGAAACCCUGAUGCAGCGACGCCGCGUGAAGGAAGAAGUAUCUCGGUAUGUAAACUUCUAUCAGCAGGGAAGAAAACAGACGGUACCUGACUAAGAAGCCCCGGCUAACUACGUGCCAGCAGCCGCGGUAAUACGUAGGGGGCAAGCGUUAUCCGGAUUUACUGGGUGUAAAGGGGGCGCAGACGGCCAUGGCAAGCCCAGUGUGAAAGGCAGGGGCAUAACCCCUGGACUGCACUGGGAACUGUCAGGCUGGAGUGCGGGAGGGGCAGGCGGAAUUCCUGGUGUAGCGGUGAAAUGCGUAGAUAUCAGGAGGAACACCGGCGGCGAGGGCGGCCUGCUGGACCGUGACUGACGUUGAGGCUCGAGAGCGUGGGGAGCAAACAGGAUUAGAUACCCGAGUA